Molecule: long non-coding RNA, 305 nt
Filed under: Sinocyclocheilus anshuiensis
Lineage: Eukaryota; Metazoa; Chordata; Actinopteri; Cypriniformes; Cyprinidae
Description: lncRNA (ENSSANG00000002804.1)
Source: RNAcentral
CAUCGUCGUGUUUUUCGUCAUAGUCGUCUUAGGGAUUCUGAGGGAUGUGUUUUUUGGACAUUUACUGCGUGCCCAUUUCCUGAGCCGUUCUGAGAGUUCCCAAUCUCUGACCACAAACAUCGCCUUCGUCGCCUGUAACGGUCUGGGCCUCAUCUUCUCACUUCUCAUCAUCCCAACAUUGUGCUGCUGGUGUAAACCGAGAAAGCGUCUGAUGGUCAUCCACAUGAACGCAGCUGACGUCGUGGAUCAUCCGCGUCCAGAAUCUUCCCCGCCGGCCUAUAGUCCGGUCCCGUCUUCAGAUCCGC